This 511-nucleotide ribosomal RNA is filed under the name Eimeria suis. Its description in RNAcentral is "SSU rRNA". It matches the Rfam family "Eukaryotic small subunit ribosomal RNA", at positions 636 to 1149 of the family's 1831-position model. Lineage: Eukaryota; Apicomplexa; Conoidasida; Eucoccidiorida; Eimeriidae. The record is from RNAcentral. RNAcentral also lists the same sequence under 1 other name.
GGAUUUCUGUCGUGGUCAUCCGGCUCCGCCUGUAUGGGUGUGCGCCUGGUUUGCCCGCGGCUUUCUUCCGGUAGCCUACCGCGCUUCACUGCGUGCGUUGGUGUUCCCCGGAACUUUUACUUUGAGAAAAAUAGAGUGUUUCAAGCAGGCUUGUCGCCCUGAAUACUUCAGCAUGGAAUAAUAAGAUAGGACCUUGGUUCUAUUUUGUUGGUUUCUAGGACCAAGGUAAUGGUUAAUAGGGACAGUUGGGGGUAUUCGUAUUUAACUGUCAGAGGUGAAAUUCUUAGAUUUGUUAAAGACGAACUACUGCGAAAGCAUUUGCCAAGGAUGUUUUCAUUAAUCAAGAACGACAGUAGGGGGUUUGGAGACGAUUAGAUACCGUCGUAAUCUCUACCAUAAACUAUGCCGACUAGAGAUAGGGAAUGCAUUAUUCCAAUCUUCCCUGCACCUCAUGAGAAAUCAAAGUCUCUGGGUUCUGGGGGGAGUAUGGUCGCAAGGCUGAAACUUAAAG